CAGUUCGUCUCGCCCUAGGUUGCAUCAUAUUAUCUACCUUACGACUUUUCCGGCUUCAGGUCAGAGAUAAGUUUGGACAUCAAGUGGAAGCGUUCUUUGUAAUACUGACUGCACUUCAGUUUCACUUGCUGUUCUAUUGUACUCGUCCACUGCCAAAUAUACUAGCUUUGGGUGUAGUUAACUUGGCAUAUGCAUUUUGGCUCAAGGGGAAGGUUUAUGCGGCUUUAAAUUGUCUG
Morus notabilis is the source of this 236-nucleotide long non-coding RNA. RefSeq lists it as uncharacterized. NCBI's taxonomy places the organism in Eukaryota, Viridiplantae, Streptophyta, Magnoliopsida, Rosales, Moraceae. The transcript has 3 exons. The record is from RefSeq and is a predicted model, not a curated record.